AACGCGAAGAACCUUACCUGGGUUUGACAUGUGCAGGACAGGUGAUGAAAGUUACCCUCCCCUCGGGGCCUGUACACAGGUGCUGCAUGGCUGUCGUCAGCUCGUGUCGUGAGAUGUUGGGUUAAGUCCCGCAACGAGCGCAACCCUUGCCCUCUGUUGCUACCGGGUUAUGCCGGGCACUCUGAGGGGACUGCCCCGGUGAACGGGGAGGAAGGUGGGGAUGACGUCAAGUCCUCAUGGCCUUUAUGUCCAGGGCUACACACGUGCUACAAUGGUCAGGACAAUGGGUCGCUCCCUCGCAAGAGGUUGCCAAUCUCAAAAACCUGGCCUUAGUUCGGAUGGUUGGCUGCAACUCGCCAGCCUGAAGCUGGAAUCGCUAGUAAUCGGAGAUCAGCACGCUCCGGUGAAUACGUUCCCGGCCUUGUACACACCGGUAUCUC
Molecule: ribosomal RNA, 440 nt
Filed under: uncultured bacterium
Lineage: Bacteria
Description: bacterial SSU rRNA
Rfam family: Bacterial small subunit ribosomal RNA
Source: RNAcentral